ACGGAGGGUGCGAGCGUUAAUCGGAAUUACUGGGCGUAAAGCGUGCGUAGGCGGUUCGGUAAGUCAGGUGUGAAAUCCCCGGGCUUAACCUGGGAAUGGCGUUUGAUACUGGCGGGCUGGAGUACGGCAGAGGGGGGUGGAAUUCCAGGUGUAGCAGUGAAAUGCGUAGAUAUGUGGAGGAACACCGAUGGCGAAGGCAGC
Molecule: ribosomal RNA, 201 nt
Filed under: uncultured prokaryote
Description: partial 16S ribosomal RNA
Rfam family: Bacterial small subunit ribosomal RNA
Source: RNAcentral